This 293-nucleotide ribosomal RNA is filed under the name uncultured bacterium. Its description in RNAcentral is "partial 16S ribosomal RNA". It matches the Rfam family "Archaeal small subunit ribosomal RNA", at positions 455 to 747 of the family's 1478-position model. The record is from RNAcentral.
GUGCCAGCCGCCGCGGUAAUACCGGCAGCUCAAGUGAUGUCCCAUAUUAUUGGGCCUAAAGCGUCCGUAGCUGGCUGCGCAAGUCCGUCGGGAAAUCCACCCGCCCAACGGGUGGGCGUCCGGUGGAAACUGUGUGGCUUGGGACCGGAAGGCGCGACGGGUACGUCCGGGGUAGGAGUGAAAUCCCGUAAUCCUGGACGGACCGCCGAUGGCGAAAGCACGUCGCGAAGAUGGAUCCGACAGUGAGGGACGAAAGCUAGGGUCUCGAACCGGAUUAGAAACCCCAGUAGUCC